Molecule: ribosomal RNA, 421 nt
Filed under: uncultured bacterium
Lineage: Bacteria
Description: partial 16S ribosomal RNA
Rfam family: Bacterial small subunit ribosomal RNA
Source: RNAcentral
AUCUUCCACAAUGGGCGUAAGCCUGAUGGAGCACCGCCGCGUGAGUGAAGAAGGUUUUCGGAUCGUAAAACUCUGUUGUAAGGGAAGAACAAGUACAGUAGUAACUGACUGUACCUUGACGGUACCUUAUUAGAAAGCCACGGCUAACUACGUUCCAGCAGCCGCGGUAAUACGUAGGUGGCAAGCGUUGUCCGGAAUUAGUGGGCGUGAAGCGCGCGCAGGCGGUCCUUUAAGUCUGAUGUGAAAGCCAACGGCUCAACCGUGGAGGGUAAUUGGAAACUGGGGGACUUGAGUGCAGAAGAGGAAAGUGGAAUUCAAAGUGUAGCGGUGAAAUGCGUAGAGAUUUGGAGGAACACCAGUGGCGAAGGCGACUCUCUGGUCUGUAACUGACGCUGAGGCGCGAAAGCGUGGGGAGCAAACA